This 140-nucleotide unclassified non-coding RNA is filed under the name fungal sp. Its description in RNAcentral is "partial internal transcribed spacer region". The stretch from base 1 to 46 matches the Rfam family "Eukaryotic small subunit ribosomal RNA", at positions 1786 to 1831 of the family's 1831-position model. Lineage: Eukaryota; Fungi. The record is from RNAcentral.
AAGUCGUAACAAGGUUUCCGUAGGUGAACCUGCGGAAGGAUCAUUGGGAUGAAGAUAGAGAGAGAGUUGGAACGAAGGAGCAAUAAAUCUUUUUUAUACAACCAAACACACAACUGCUGACAAUGGAUCUCUGGGCUCUU